Long non-coding RNA from Solanum lycopersicum (tomato), 533 nucleotides. RefSeq lists it as uncharacterized. Lineage: Eukaryota; Viridiplantae; Streptophyta; Magnoliopsida; Solanales; Solanaceae. The record is from RefSeq and is a predicted model, not a curated record.
CUGAUAACUAUUAUUCUACUACUUUUAGAAAAAUAGAAAAAGCCAAUAGUGAAGGGUAUAAAUAAACAAUUAAUCUUCAAAUAUUCUCUUGAAGCUUUUUUAGCUAUGGACUCUCAAGUGUAUCUGCAUUUUGGAGAAAAAAGGUCAGAGUCUAUCGUAACACAAGCAUUAGUGACUAAUCCUACGAUUCAAACAUAUAACUUGUAAGUCAGACGAGGUGACUUUACGCUACUCCAAGGCUUCCGUUCAUAACAAAACUGUGAAGCAGCUUUCCUAUUUCAGACCUGUGACUAUCAAGAAUAAAAGUGUUCCGACUAUCUAUGAAUGACCAGGAUCAGAAUGCCAAUGGACGAGAUCAGAGAGAAGAACACCAACGCACCAAUGACGAUGAUACAUAAAAAAAAAUAAUUUCAGCACACGGUACAAUACAAGCUCUUGCCUGUGCCAAACACCACUUAAAAUGAAUCGAUGAAUUUAAAUGAAAGAAAAAAGAGGGAAGAACAGAGUACUGAUGCUAUACUAAAAAAAAAAAA